CAGGAUUCGCAAGAACUCCCGUAACCACUGUGAACCUUACCUUCUGUUGCCUCGGCGGGCGCUGGUCUCUCCAGCGCUCACGCCCGCCGACGGCCCACAACUCAUUGUCUGACUCUAAGCAUCUCCGAGCCAUACACAAACGAAUCA
RNAcentral lists this unclassified non-coding RNA (147 nucleotides) under uncultured Thozetella. Its description in RNAcentral is "sequence contains ITS1". The record is from RNAcentral. Lineage: Eukaryota; Fungi; Ascomycota; Sordariomycetes; Chaetosphaeriales; Chaetosphaeriaceae.